Molecule: transfer RNA, 63 nt
Filed under: Triticum aestivum (bread wheat)
Lineage: Eukaryota; Viridiplantae; Streptophyta; Magnoliopsida; Poales; Poaceae
Also listed under: 1 other name
Rfam family: tRNA
About the family: Transfer RNA (tRNA) molecules are approximately 80 nucleotides in length. Their secondary structure includes four short double-helical elements and three loops (D, anti-codon, and T loops).
Source: Rfam by way of RNAcentral
GGUAGAGGAAUCGGUCAACUCAUCAGGCUCAUGACCUGAAGACUGCAGGUUCGAAUCCUGUCC